RNAcentral lists this ribosomal RNA (401 nucleotides) under uncultured bacterium. Its description in RNAcentral is "bacterial SSU rRNA". It matches the Rfam family "Bacterial small subunit ribosomal RNA", at positions 102 to 520 of the family's 1533-position model. The record is from RNAcentral.
ACGGGUGAGUAGCACGUGAGCAACCUGCCCCGAAGACUGGGAUAACACCGGGAAACCGGUGCUAAUACCGGAUGCCCCCACCGGACCGCAUGGUCGGGUGAGGAAAGGAUUCUGCUUCGGGAGGGGCUCGCGGCCUAUCAUGCUUGUUGGUGAGGUAACGGCUCACCAAGGCUCCGACGGGUAGCUGGUCUGAGAGGACGAUCAGCCACACUGGGACUGAGACACGGCCCAGACUCCUACGGGAGGCAGCAGUAGGGAAUCUUGCGCAAUGGGCGAAAGCCUGACGCAGCAACGCCGCGUGAGGGACGAAGGCUUUCUGAGUUGUAAACCUCUUUCAGCAGGAACGAUGAUGACGGUACCUGCAGAAGAAGCACCGGCCAACUACGUGCCAGCAGCCGCGG